CGAAAGCGAGGGGAGCGAACGGGAUUAGAUACCCCGGUAGUCCUCGCCGUAAACGAUGACCACUAGGUGUGGGAGGUAUCGACCCCUUCCGUGCCGCCGGUAACCCAAUAAGUGGUCCGCCUGGGGAGUACGGUCGCAAGAUUAAAACUCAAAGGAAUUGACGGGGACCCGCACAAGCAGCGGAGCGUGUGGUUUAAUUCGAUGCGACGCGAAGAACCUUACCAGGGUUGGACAUGCCGACCUAGUCCUCCGAGACGAGGAUACCCGCAAGGGCAGUCGGCACAGGUGCUGCAUGGCUGUCGUCAGCUCGUGCCGUGAGGUGUUGGGUUAAGUCCCGCAACGAGCGCAACCCCCGUCGUCGGUUAGAUAUGUCCGGCGAGACUGCCACGAGUAACGUGGAGGAAGGUGGGGAUGACGUCAAGUCAGCACGGCCCUUACGUCCUGGGCGACACACACGCUACAAUGGCUGGAGCAGAGGGGAGCCAACCCGCGAGGGGGAGCCAAUCCCAGCAAAGCCAGUCUCAGUUCGGAUGGCAGGCUGCAACUCGCCUGCCUGAAGUCGGAGUUGCUAGUAACCGUGGGUCAGCACACCACGGUGAAUACGUUCCCGGGUCUUGUACACACCGCCCGUCACACCACGAAAGUCGGCAACACCUUAAGCCGCUGGGCUAACCCUUUGGGGAGGCAGGCGUCCAGGGUGGGGUUGGUGAUUGGGGUGAAGUCGUAACAAGGUAGCCGUA
Molecule: ribosomal RNA, 740 nt
Filed under: uncultured bacterium
Lineage: Bacteria
Description: bacterial SSU rRNA
Rfam family: Bacterial small subunit ribosomal RNA
Source: RNAcentral